RNAcentral lists this ribosomal RNA (1132 nucleotides) under uncultured archaeon. RNAcentral's name for it is "bacterial SSU rRNA". It matches the Rfam family "Archaeal small subunit ribosomal RNA", at positions 80 to 1211 of the family's 1478-position model. The record is from RNAcentral.
GGCAGACGGCUCAGUAACACGUAGUCAAUCUACCCUAUGGACGGGGAUAACCUCGGGAAACUGAGGAUAACACCCGAUAGAUCAUAAUGCCUGGAACGGUUUAUGGUCCAAAUGAUUCGUCGCCGUAGGAUGGGACUGCGGCCUAUCAGCUUGUUGGUGAGGUAAUGGCCCACCAAGGCUAUUACAGGUACGGGCUCUGAGAGGAGAAGCCCGGAGAUGGGUACUGAGACACGGACCCAGGCCCUAUGGGGCGCAGCAGGCGAGAAAACUUUGCAAUGUGCGCAAGCACGACAAGGUUAAUCCGAGUGUUUCCUGUUUAAGGAAUCUUUUGUUAGUCAUAAAACCACUAUCGAAUAAGGGGUGGGCAAGUUCUGGUGUCAGCCGCCGCGGUAAAACCAGCACCUCAAGUGGUCAGGAGGAUUAUUGGGCCUAAAGCAUCCGUAGCCUGUUCUUUAAGUUUCCGGUUAAAUCCAUUAGCUCAACUAAUGGGCCGCCGAAAAUACUGUAGAACUAGGGAGUGGGAGAGGUAGACGGUAUUCGGUAGGAAGGGGUAAAAUCCUUUGAUCUAUUGAGGACCACCUGUGGCGAAGGCGGUCUACCAGAACACGUUCGACGGUGAGGGAUGAAAGCUGGGGGAGCAAACCGGAUUAGAUACCCGGGUAGUCCCAGCUGUAAACGAUGCAGACUCGGUGAUGCGCUGGCUUGUGGCCAGUGCAGUGCCGCAGGGAAGCCGUUAAGUUUGCCGCCUGGGAAGUACGUACGCAAGUAUGAAACCUAAAGGAAUUGGCGGGGGAGCGCCACAAGGGGUGAAGCCUGCGGUUCAAUUGGAGUCAACGCCAGAAAUCUUACCCGAAGAGACAGCAGAAUGAAGGUCAAGCUGGAGACUUUACCAGACAAGCUGAGAUGUGGUGCAUGGCCGUCGCCAGCUCGUGCCGUGAGAUGUCCUGUUAAGUCAGGUAACGAGCGAGAUCCCUGCCUCUAGUUGCCACCAUUACUCUCAGGAGUAGUGGGGCGAAUUAGCGGGACCGCCGCAGUUAAUGCGGAGGAAGGAAGGGGCCACGGCAGGUCAGUAUGCCCUGAAACUUUGGGGCCACACGCGGGCUGCAAUGGUAGUGACAAUGGGUUCCGAAUC